GAUGAACGCUGGCGGCGUGCCUAAUACAUGCAAGUCGAGCGAACGGACGAGAAGCUUGCUUCUCUGAUGUUAGCGGCGGACGGGUGAGUAACACGUGGAUAACCUACCUAUAAGACUGGGAUAACUUCGGGAAACCGGAUCUAAUACCGGAUAAGAUUUUGAACCGCAUGGUUCAAAAGUGAAAGAGGGACUUGCUGUCACUUAUAGAUGGAUCCGCGCUGCAUUAGCUAGUUGGUAAGGUAACGGCUUACCAAGGCAACGAUGCAUAGCCGACCUGAGAGGGUGAUCGGCCACACUGGAACUGAGACACGGUCCAGACUCCUACGGGAGGCAGCAGUAGGGAAUCUUCCGCAAUGGGCGAAAGCCUGACGGAGCAACGCCGCGUGAGUGAUGAAGGUCUUCGGAUCGUAAAACUCUGUUAUUAGGGAAGAACAUAUGUGUAAGUAACUGUGCACAUCUUGACGGUACCUAAUCAGAAAGCCCCGGCUAACUACGUG
Molecule: ribosomal RNA, 497 nt
Filed under: uncultured bacterium
Lineage: Bacteria
Description: partial 16S ribosomal RNA
Rfam family: Bacterial small subunit ribosomal RNA
Source: RNAcentral